This 1357-nucleotide ribosomal RNA is filed under the name uncultured bacterium. Its description in RNAcentral is "bacterial SSU rRNA". It matches the Rfam family "Bacterial small subunit ribosomal RNA", at positions 27 to 1381 of the family's 1533-position model. The record is from RNAcentral.
GGAUUAACGCUAGCGGCAGGCCUAAUACAUGCAAGUCGAGGGGCAGCAGGGUGUAGCAAUACAUCGCUGGCGACCGGCGCACGGGUGCGUAACACGUAUGCAACCUACCUUUAACUGGGGAAUAGCCCUCCGAAAGGAGGAUUAACACCGCAUAACAUCACGAGACGGCAUCGCCUUGUGAUCAAACCUCCGGGGGUUAAAGAUGGGCAUGCGUCCGAUUAGCUAGUUGGCGGGGUAACGGCCCACCAAGGCGACGAUCGGUAGGGGGUCUGAGAGGAUGAUCCCCCACACUGGUACUGAGACACGGACCAGACUCCUACGGGAGGCAGCAGUAAGGAAUAUUGGACAAUGGUCGCAAGACUGAUCCAGCCAUGCCGCGUGCAGGAUGAACGAUCUAUGAUCUGUAAACUGCUUUUGUUCGGGAAUAAACCCCUUCACGUGUGGAGGGCUGAAUGUACCGAAAGAAUAAGGGUCGGCUAACUUCGUGCCAGCAGCCGCGGUAAGACGAAGGACCCAAGCGUUAUCCGGAUUUAUUGGGUUUAAAGGGUGCGUAGGCGGGUUGUUAAGUCNNNGGUGAAAGCCUAGAGNUUAACUCUAGAAUUGCCAUUGAUACUGACGAUCUUGAGGAUAGUUGAGGUGNNCGGAAUGUAUCAUGUAGCGGUGAAAUGCUUAGAGAUGAUACAGAACACCGAUUGCGAAGGCAGCUCACUAAGCUAUUUCUGACGCUGAGGCACGAAAGCGUGGGGAUCAAACAGGAUUAGAUACCCUGGUAGUCCACGCCCUAAACGAUGAUUACUCGAUGUGUGCGAUAUACUGUACGCGUCUAAGCGAAAGCAUUAAGUAAUCCACCUGGGGAGUACGACCGCAAGGUUGAAACUCAAAGGAAUUGACGGGGGCCCGCACAAGCGGAGGAGCAUGUGGUUUAAUUCGAUGAUACGCGAGGAACCUUACCUGGGCUUAAAUGUAGAGUGCAUUUUCUAGAGAUAGAAAUUCCCUUCGGGGCUUUCUGCAAGGUGCUGCAUGGUUGUCGUCAGCUCGUGCCGUGAGGUGUCGGGUUAAGUCCCAUAACGAGCGCAACCCUUAUCGUUAGUUGCCAGCUGGUAAAGCAGGGGACUCUAGCGAAACUGCCACCGUAAGGUGAGAGGAAGGUGGGGAUGACGUCAAAUCAGCACGGCCCUUAUGUCCAGGGCUACACACGUGUUACAAUGGCCGGUACAGAGGGCUGCUACCUGGUGACAGGAUGCUAAUCUCGAAAACCGGUCUCAGUUCGGAUCGAAGUCUGCAACUCGACUUCGUGAAGCCGGAUUCGCUAGUAAUCGCGCAUCAGCAACGGCGCGGUGAAUACGUUCCCGGGCCU